RNAcentral lists this long non-coding RNA (270 nucleotides) under Lathyrus oleraceus (garden pea). RNAcentral describes it as "Pisum sativum (pea) long non-coding RNA (PSAT_LNC022738)". The record is from RNAcentral. Lineage: Eukaryota; Viridiplantae; Streptophyta; Magnoliopsida; Fabales; Fabaceae.
GAAGAGGGGCAUCCGGUGGAUCAAGUUGUUUGACAGGUAGAGAUAACUCAUACUGUUGAGUUCGAAUUAGCGCACUUAUGGAGUGCUGUCCAGCAAGCUGCCGAGGCAUGUUGCGAACGAAAGAGGAAUCAAGGUUGAUCCUGAAAAAAAAAAAAGGAACAGUACUAGAAACGCCUGAACCAUAAACAAACGAAAAAAGAAAGAAAUCAAAUGGUCAGAUGGAAUGAGGACUGCCAAGGGGCAUGGAAAGAAAAAAAAAAAGGAGUAGUA